CGCGCACGCGCACUCGGGCCGCACGCACUGGCCCCGACGCACGUCCGUGGCCCCGCCCCCGCCCCCGCCCCCGCCCCGCCCCGCGCCGCGCCGCGCUUCCCGUCGGACCAGUUUCGGAAAGCGUCCGCCUGGGGUCUGUGAGUCACUGAGGUCGGCAGUGGGACUGCGUGCGUGUGAACCCAGACUGCCUUCUUCCUGCUGCAGGAAGCCGGAGGGAAUCAGCCCAUUUACGCCCUACCAGACUAGAAGAGAGCAGAAAAGUGGCAGCAGAGCACAGCACGUGAGAUUGGAGCAGUCCUCUCUUGGGAGAGACAGCACCAGAACUUUGCAUGGAACCUGAAUGAGCUGGUGGUUCGUGAACAGAGCUGUAUCAAUGCCAAUGCCCUGGCUUCACCAUCACAACAUAAAGACCCUAGAUACUAACCCUGGAGAAGUACUUGGGAAUUGUUUCUACUGCUUCGCUUUGCAACUUUAAGUCCAAAGUCAUUUCAAAAUAAAAAGUUUUAAGAGUUAAAAAAAAAGUAAACCCCUUUUUAGUAGUAAUGAUUACUUUGGCAAAGUAACAACAACAAACUAAAAAAUAAUGGUAAACCUUUAAGUUGGAAACAGUGAGUAGAGAACAAGUCUUAUUGAGAGGAAGGUAGAUAUUGAUUAAUUUUAGGCAUUUUAAGUCCAUAUUAAAAUGUUAAGGGCAGCUCUUCCUGUUACCUUUUGAACGAUUCAGGCUUCAAGCCAUUGGGUGGAGCAGAUCACAUAUUAGCCGUGAAGGAGAGGACUAGUGGCCCAGAGUGGAAUAUUUCUUUUAUUCUCUACUCUAUCCUCAGUGUCUGAUAUGUGUUCAGUAAAUAUUUGUGGAAUAGAUGGAUACAUAAAUGAAUGGCUUACUCUCUCACUCCCUUCUGGACUCUGAUCAAAUGUCAUUUCUCAGGGAGGCCUUCCUAACCACCCUAUAUAAAACACACCCUCAUUCUGUCCAUCUCCCCUACUCUGCUUCAUCUUUUCUUCACACUACUUGAUACCACCAAACCUAUCUUAUACUUAAAUGUUAAUCAUCUGUCUUCCCCCACUAGAAGGUAGCUCCUUGAAGAUAAGGAUUUGAACUAUUUUGUCAAUAACUACAUGCUUAAAC
Molecule: long non-coding RNA, 1129 nt
Filed under: Canis lupus familiaris (dog)
Lineage: Eukaryota; Metazoa; Chordata; Mammalia; Carnivora; Canidae
Description: lncRNA (ENSCAFG00845024084.1)
Source: RNAcentral